Molecule: small nuclear RNA, 140 nt
Filed under: Spathaspora passalidarum NRRL Y-27907
Lineage: Eukaryota; Fungi; Ascomycota; Pichiomycetes; Serinales; Debaryomycetaceae
Description: U4 spliceosomal RNA
Rfam family: U4 spliceosomal RNA
About the family: U4 small nuclear RNA (U4 snRNA) is a component of the major U2-dependent spliceosome. The structure of U4 snRNA from yeast and human has been reported. U4 snRNA presents a k-turn RNA motif in the 5p-SL related to recognition of Snu13 protein.
Source: Rfam by way of RNAcentral
AUCUUUAUGCAGGGGCAUUACGUGUAUCAGUGAGGAUUCAGUCCGAGAUCAUGUUUUUGCUGGUUGAAAACUAUAAACCUGACAACUUCUGGAUAUUACAUUUGUGAUAUUUAGAGAAUUUUUGGAACUGUUUUACAUUG